RNAcentral lists this ribosomal RNA (253 nucleotides) under uncultured bacterium. RNAcentral's name for it is "partial 16S ribosomal RNA". It matches the Rfam family "Bacterial small subunit ribosomal RNA", at positions 524 to 776 of the family's 1533-position model. The record is from RNAcentral.
UACAGAGGUCUCAAGCGUUGUUCGGAUUCAUUGGGCGUAAAGGGUGCGUAGGUGGCGUGGUAAGUCGGGUGUGAAAUUUCGGAGCUUAACUCCGAAACUGCAUUCGAUACUGCUGUGCUUGAGGACUGGAGAGGAGACUGGAAUUUACGGUGUAGCGGUGAAAUGCGUAGAUAUCGUAAGGAAGACCAGUGGCGAAGGCGGGUCUCUGGACAGUUCCUGACGCUGAGGCACGAAGGCCAGGGGAGCAAACGGG